Molecule: long non-coding RNA, 1640 nt
Organism: Seriola aureovittata
Lineage: Eukaryota; Metazoa; Chordata; Actinopteri; Carangiformes; Carangidae
Exons: 3
Source: RefSeq, a predicted model, not a curated record
CUGGCUAUUCAGGCAGAUGAAACAACAGACACUGCCACUCAUUGUCAGCUGGUGCUUGUGCUACUUUACACUGACAGACUGAAUAAAGUCCGAGAGCGUUUUAAUGAGUUCAUCCAGCUUCCAAACAGCUGACACAGUCGCCACUGCGGUGUUGGAAAGGCUGAACACUAUUCCUCCUGAAGGACAACGGGGAAAACUAAUCGCCCAGGUCCAUGACGGAGCUGCCGUGAAGAGAGGAGCCACAGGUGUCGUGCAGCGCAAGGUUCAAGACGUGUACAGGUGUGCCCACUACGUUCACCUCUAUGCUCAUCAGCUGAACCUGAUAAUGCAGCAGGCACUUUUUUUCAGAUCUUGGCGGAUUUCCUGCAUUUUUCUCCAGGUCAUCCAAGCGACCUGCUGUCCUUGAUCAAGUGGUGGCACACAGACUUCCUGGAGCUUCAACAACAAGGUGGAACUUUCAGUCCUGCUGUUAACACCAUUUAUGAGCACAAGGAUGACCUCCUGAAGGGUUUUCAGACCAUCAGAGAGAAAGGUGAAUUUGAUACAACAACUGUGAGAGAGGCUGGGGGUUUUGAGAAAAUGCUGGAAGAUGAAGAUUUUUGUUUUAUUCCUGGCAUUUUUUCACAAGAUCAUGGCACAUGUAGACAUGCUGUUUAACCAGCUGCAGAAGAGGAACAUUGACUGUCUACAUCACAGGAGUCAUUCAGAGGUUCACCAACAGCAUACAAGCUAUCAGGGACUCCGUUCCUCCAUCUGUGCAGCAGCCAUCCACAAAGAAACAGAAAGCACUAGGCCAAGAGGAGCAGCACCGGUUAGCUACAGAGGUAUGUGAUGCCAUUCUGAGGCCACAGAACCAGACUGGACAAGGCCAAACUGGAGACAGAAUUGUCCCUGGUCUAUGCAAAUGAAGAGUUCAAGGCUUGCAGUGGUGCACUGGCUCUCUUCCAGGUUUUCAUGGAAAACAACCUCCAGGACACAUUCAGCGAGACUGUAAGUCUUCUCAAGAAUCUCAUCACCACACCGAUGACUACAGCAGAAUCAAAGAGGUGCUUCUCUACUUUAAAGAGGAUAAAAACAUUCCUUAGGAACACCAUGGCACAAGACCGCCUGAACGCACUGGCUAUGCUCUCCAUGGAGAAAAACCUGGUCCAGAACAUUCCUGACUUUAACACCAAAGUCUUUGAGAAGUUUGUUACUGAGAAAGACAAAAGAGCAAAGUUCAUGUACAAAUAAGAGCACUCACUCCCUCACACACACUUUUUCUGUGUAUAGUUAACUUUAGUCACCAUCCACCUGUAAAUAUUAUAAUAUAACAUUAUGUUGUAAUUUUGUAUUAUGAGUAUUCACUAAUGUAUUUAAUCCAAUUGCUACAUUUUAUGUUCCUAUGACAGUUUUUCUUUGUAUAUAGUUAUUUUUAAUCAUCAUCCAACUGUAAAUGUCUCUCAAGAACUUUAAUUUUGUAUUAAGAGUAAUCACUAAUAUACAUCUCAUAUCAUUGUCAUUAUCUGUCAAACUGUUGAUUUCUAAAGGGCAAUUAAAUGAUUAUUGUUUAUCCCUAAAACAAUGGUAUCUUUUGGUUUGGGUUCUUUUAUUGGGAUAGUUACUGAAAGCUUCUGGCACAUACAGCCCCACCUAGAAUA